AAGCCCCCGUUGCUGUAUGACAACCUGUCUACACGAUUUUACAGCUGCCCAACAUUGGGGUUUCGCUGUUUAGUGUGUCCCCUUCCGAACAAAACAAAACAAAACAAAACAAAAACGGGGUCGGGGUUUUUUUUUUUUUCUCCAGCGCUUACAACUGACUCCUCGCAAUUCGGCUCAGAGUCGGCUGUAAGCGAAUGGGCCAGUGAGGAAGUUACACUUUUGGAAGGGUGGAGCUGCCACUUACUUUCCACUGACUUUCAUUUUUGUUUGGGUCGUAGUCUCUAAUCGAAGCAGUAAGCGCAAACCCAGAAUUAAACCUUCCAGCUGCUCUUCCCAGAAACCUCUUCCUUGCCAUACUAAACAAACAAGGCGUCCCAUCAACCGACAGAGGAAGAAAGAAAAGAAGGCCUGGAUUAAAGUGCGAAGGAGCAGGCGAAGGCGACGAGCUGGGACAAAAAAAUAGAACGGAUCUGAAAGGGACGACCCUAGACGGAAGGCGCCAUCCAGCCGAAGUGGACCCGAUGCCUAUUUAUUGGGAAAUAAAGGCGUUCCACUGAA
Molecule: long non-coding RNA, 558 nt
Organism: Protobothrops mucrosquamatus (brown spotted pit viper)
Lineage: Eukaryota; Metazoa; Chordata; Lepidosauria; Squamata; Viperidae
Exons: 2
Source: RefSeq, a predicted model, not a curated record